This 371-nucleotide ribosomal RNA is filed under the name uncultured bacterium. Its description in RNAcentral is "bacterial SSU rRNA". It matches the Rfam family "Bacterial small subunit ribosomal RNA", at positions 367 to 755 of the family's 1533-position model. The record is from RNAcentral.
GACAAUGGGCGCAAGCCUGAUCCAGCCAUGCCGCGUGAGUGAUGAAGGCCUUAGGGUUGUAAAGCUCUUUUAGCAGGGCAGAUAAUGACGGUACCUGCAGAAAAAGCCCCGGCUAACUUCGUGCCAGCAGCCGCGGUAAUACGAAGGGGGCUAGCGUUGCUAGGAAUUCCUGGGCGUAAAGCGCACGUAGGCGGACUCUUAAGUCGGUGGUGAAAUCCUGGAGGUCAACUCCAGAACUGCCUUCGAUACUGGGAGGCUUGAGUUCUGGGGAGGUGAGUGGAACUGCGAGUGUAGAGGUGAAAUUCGUAGAUAUUCGCAAGAACACCAGUGGCGAAGGCGUCUCACUGGCCCGAUACUGACGCUGAGGUGCG